Long non-coding RNA from Candoia aspera, 694 nucleotides. RefSeq lists it as uncharacterized. The record is from RefSeq and is a predicted model, not a curated record. NCBI's taxonomy places the organism in Eukaryota, Metazoa, Chordata, Lepidosauria, Squamata, Candoiidae. The transcript is spliced from 4 exons.
UUUAAAAAGAUCAAAAGUCUUGUGACAUCAUAAAGACUGAUAGAUUGAGACUGCAAUGGAGAUGGGCCUUUUCUGCUGUGGCUCCUGUCCUCUGGAAUAUCAUUCCCCCUGAGUUAUGAGCUGCUGAGAGGCCAAGCUAAGCCUCUCUCAGAUGGUAUCAACUUACCACUGGGACAGUGACGAUAAAAGGACACUACCAAGCCACUUCCAGAUAUGCUAGAUGACUGUUCCCAGAAGUUCUACUUAGCAUGGCCUGUUCCAGUGCAUCCAGGGACCACCAGUUUGAAGAAAGCUGCAAUAAAAUUACUUCACUUCUUCUGUAGUAAUAUUCUCCCUUACCUAUAUUGUGUCUCCAUAGCAACAAUUGUGACAUCUCUGCAUAUCCAAUGUAUAUUUUCUGACAAAUCAGUUGAACUCAAAACAAUCAUCUCAAUCUCCAUGGAAACAGAUUUGGUGGCUCCUAUGGAAACAGGCAUGGAGGAAGAACCCCCGUAGAGUCACAGCUUUCGGAAUCACUCCCACCCACAGUGCAGACAGUGGCUCUGAAUGAAUUGAUGAACUGCCGUGAUGCCAGAUACUACUAAUAAGCAAUGUAAGAUGACCUGUUUAUGUAAGGGCAUUGCAGUCUGACAACAAUUGCACGUGCACAUCCUGGCCACUAUUUACUUGCACCAUAUUGCAUGGCUGUAUCAGA